This 73-nucleotide transfer RNA is filed under the name Stegodyphus mimosarum. It matches the Rfam family "tRNA". Rfam says of the family: Transfer RNA (tRNA) molecules are approximately 80 nucleotides in length. Their secondary structure includes four short double-helical elements and three loops (D, anti-codon, and T loops). Further hydrogen bonds mediate the characteristic L-shaped molecular structure. tRNAs have two regions of fundamental functional importance: the anti-codon, which is responsible for specific mRNA codon recognition, and the 3' end, to which the tRNAs corresponding amino acid is attached (by aminoacyl-tRNA synthetases). tRNAs cope with the degeneracy of the genetic code in two manners: having more than one tRNA (with a specific anti-codon) for a particular amino acid; and 'wobble' base-pairing, i.e. permitting non-standard base-pairing at the 3rd anti-codon position. Lineage: Eukaryota; Metazoa; Arthropoda; Arachnida; Araneae; Eresidae. The record is from Rfam by way of RNAcentral.
UCCUUCGUGGUGUAAUUGGAAGCAUACUGGACUCGUAUUCGAUAGAUCCAGGGUUCGAGUCCCGGCGAGGGCA